GGCCAGUCUCCCACUCCCCUGCUCUGGAAGUGAUCCAGGGGCUGGAAUCAGUGUCUUUUGGCUUUCAUGGAGGAGGGGAAGCCAGAGACUAUUCACUGGGAACUGGCUGCCUUUCUGUUCUCUCCUGGGCGGUGGGACACGCCUAAUGAAGAUCAUGGGAGGCUACUUCACGUGGACCCCAGAUGGAAUCCCCACACUGUCCAACAUCACCAUUCGUAUCCCCCGAGGCCAGCUGACUAUGAUCGUGGGGCAGGUGGGCUGCGGCAAGUCCUCGCUCCUUCUAGCCGCACUGGGGGAGAUGCAGAAGGUCUCAGGGGCUGUCUUCUGGAGCAGCAGCCUUCCUGACAGCGAGAUAGGAGAGGACCCCAGCCCAGAGCGGGAGACAGCGACCGACUUGGAUAUCAGGAAGAGAGGCCCUGUGGCCUAUGCUUCGCAGAAACCAUGGCUGCUAAAUGCCACUGUGGAGGAGAACAUCAUCUUUGAGAGUCCCUUCAACAAACAACGGUACAAGAUGGUCAUUGAAGCCUGCUCUCUGCAGCCAGACAUCGACAUCCUGCCCCAUGGAGACCAGACCCAGAUUGGGGAACGGGGCAUCAACCUGUCUGGUGGUCAACGCCAGCGAAUCAGUGUGGCCCGAGCCCUCUACCAGCACGCCAACGUCGUCUUCUUGGAUGACCCCUUCUCAGCUCUGGAUAUCCAUCUGAGUGACCACUUAAUGCAGGCCGGC
This 727-nucleotide small RNA is filed under the name Pan troglodytes (chimpanzee). RNAcentral describes it as "retained intron". Lineage: Eukaryota; Metazoa; Chordata; Mammalia; Primates; Hominidae. The record is from RNAcentral.